AGCCUUGUAGUUUAAUGUAAAAAUUUUUGUAUGUGGUUCAAAAGAUUUUGGGGCUU
This 56-nucleotide transfer RNA is filed under the name Ascaridia galli. RNAcentral's name for it is "tRNA-His". Lineage: Eukaryota; Metazoa; Nematoda; Chromadorea; Rhabditida; Ascaridiidae. The record is from RNAcentral.